This 495-nucleotide ribosomal RNA is filed under the name uncultured soil bacterium. RNAcentral describes it as "bacterial SSU rRNA". It matches the Rfam family "Bacterial small subunit ribosomal RNA", at positions 8 to 495 of the family's 1533-position model. The record is from RNAcentral.
AGAGUUUGAUCCUGGCUCAGAACGAACGCUGGCGGCGUGGAUAAGACAUGCAAGUUGAACGCGACUUUCGAGGUAGCAAUAUUUCGAGAGUUGAGUAGCGCAAGGGUGCGUAACACGUGGGAAUCUACCCUGAAGUUGGGGAUAACUCGCUGAAAGGCGAGCUAAUACCGAAUGUGGCAGUAAUGCCAAAGCUGGGGACCGAAAGGCCUGGCGAUUCUGGAUGAGCCCGCGGCCUAUCAGCUCGUUGGCGGGGUAACGGCUCACCAAGGCUAAGACGGGUAGCUGGUCUGAGAGGACGACCAGCCUCACUGGAACUGAGACACGGUCCAGACACCUACGGGUGGCAGCAGUCGAGAAUUUUUCUCAAUGGGCGAAAGCCUGAAGGAGCGACGCCGCGUGGGGGAUGAAUGGCUUCGGCCCGUAAACCCCUGUCAUUUGUGAACAAGUUGCUUCACCUAACACGUGAAGCAUUGAUGAACGGAAGAGAAAGACCCC